Molecule: long non-coding RNA, 1709 nt
Filed under: Podarcis lilfordi (Lilford's wall lizard)
Lineage: Eukaryota; Metazoa; Chordata; Lepidosauria; Squamata; Lacertidae
Source: RNAcentral
GAAAAAGUGAGUCUUAUAGAGCAAAAAAUAUGGUAGGUUGCACAGACAGCAUGAAUGUGUGUGUGUGUGUGUGUGUGUGUGUGUGUGUGUGUGUGUGUGUAGGGGGGGGGGAGAGAGAGAGAGAGAGAGAGAUACAACAUGGGUAGGCAAACUAAGGCCUGGGGGCCAGAUCCAGCCCAAUCGCCUUCUCAAUCCGGUCCGUGGACGGUCCGGGAAUCACCAUGUUUUUACAUGAGUAGAAUGUGUCCUUUUAUUUAAAAUGCAUCUCUGGGUUAUUUGUGGAGCCUGUCUGGUGUUUUUUACAUGAGUAGAACGUGUGCUUUUAUUUGUGGGGCAUAGGAGAUCGUUCAUAUUUUUUUCCAAAAUAUAGUCCGCCCCCCCUACAAGGUCUGAGGAACAGUGGACUGGCCCCCUGCUGAAAAAGUUUGCUGACCCCUGAGCUACAACAAAGCCCAGGCAGCCUGAAAGUUGUGCAUGGGAUGCUACGAUGAAGUCCACUUGCACUUCUCAGGUACCUUCUCUCUUCAAAUUUCUGCCAUGGAGACGCCUGAGUUCCUGUAGUUUGCAUCUGCUGUGUCCUAAAGGCUUAACAAGAGGCAUCAGAGACCCACAACAGAUCACCUCUGUAUUCUGUGUUUUGCAAAUAGCUGCCUCUCCCCUCUCCAUUUUGGAUCAAGCCCAUCACGUGGGUGGGUGUAACUAUCUGGCUUCUCAGAGCCGUCUUUCCUGCAGUUGGUGUUUGCUGCAGCUGCUCCUUCCCUUGGGUGGAAUUUUGUGCUCCUUCCUUCGUAGUAAUGUGAGUCGCUUGCAGCGCUGUGUUUACCUUGCUCUGCACACCUGCUUGUUUCCUUUACAGAGUUGACAUCUAACUCCAGAUACAUAGAUGUGGCACAUUGGCACCAAUGGAAGGAAGCAGAAAGCAACAGAGCACACAUGUUUGACAACGAUUUCAUUUGGGCGGGGAAGAGAGACAGCACUAUGUAGCCCUUGAAGUUCCUAUCAGAAUUUAAUAACUACUCUGAUUAUGCAACACUAGAUCUAUAAAGUAGUCCCAAGGGGAAACGUCAGUGCUUGCCAGUGGUUACCAUGGUUACAUCCAGUUCUUAACAAAGGAGGAACAAGUGUGAAUUCAAUUAUUCUUAUUUCAAAUACUGUGCAGCAGCACUUAUCCAAAUGGCCUGUAGGACAUAAAAACACAUUUGGAUAAUUAGGAGUUCAUAUAAUCAAAGGCUGGAGAUCGUUUACAUUAGCAGUAUGUGGUGGCAGUGGUAGCAGCAAUGUAAUAACCUGGCAGAAAGAUGAAAUUUAAAAUAGCUAAGGCUCUGCUAAGACACAGACACAUUUUAUUUUAUUCAAAACAAUUUUGGUCGCUCAAAAUCUCUUAAGCGGUGUAAAGGUAAAGGUACCGCUGACCGUUAGGUCCAGUUGCAGCACUCAGACCGUUAGGUCUGGGGUUGCAGCACUCAUCCCACUCUAUAGGCCGAGGGAGUCGGUGUUUGUCCUCAGACAGUUUUUCCGGGUCAUGUGGCCAGCAUGACUAAGCCGCUUCUGGCGAACCAGAGCAGCACAAGGAAAUGCUGUUUACCUUCCCGCCGGAGUGGUACCUAUUUAUCUACUUGUGGUAUCUAUUUAUCUUUGACGUGCUUUCGAACUGCUAGGUUGGCAGGAGCUGGGCAGGAGCAGGGACCUUAAAGUGGUAUACAACAGCU